AGAUUUCCGAAUGGGGAAACCCAGCAUGAGUUAUGUCAUGUUAUCGAUAUGUGAAUACAUAGCAUAUCAGAAGGCACACCCGGAGAACUGAAACAUCUUAGUACCCGGAGGAAGAGAAAGAAAAUUCGAUUCCCUUAGUAGCGGCGAGCGAAACGGGAAGAGCCCAAACCAACAAGCUUGCUUGUUGGGGUUGUAGGACACUCUAUACGGAGUUACAAAGGACGACAUUAGACGAAUCAUCUGGAAAGAUGAAUCAAAGAAGGUAAUAAUCCUGUAGUCGAAAAUGUUGUCUCUCUUGAGUGGAUCCUGAGUACGACGGAGCACGUGAAAUUCCGUCGGAAUCUGGGAGGACCAUCUCCUAAGGCUAAAUACUCUCUAGUGACCGAUAGUGAACCAGUACCGUGAGGGAAAGGUGAAAAGCACCCCGGAAGGGGAGUGAAAUAGAACCUGAAACCGUGUGCUUACAAGUAGUCAGAGCCCGUUAAUGGGUGAUGGCGUGCCUUUUGUAGAAUGAACCGGCGAGUUACGAUUUGAUGCAAGGUUAAGCAGUAAAUGUGGAGCCGUAGCGAAAGCGAGUCUGAAUAGGGCGUUUAGUAUUUGGUCGUAGACCCGAAACCAGGUGAUCUACCCUUGGUCAGGUUGAAGUUCAGGUAACACUGAAUGGAGGACCGAACCGACUUACGUUGAAAAGUGAGCGGAUGAACUGAGGGUAGCGGAGAAAUUCCAAUCGAACCUGGAGAUAGCUGGUUCUCUCCGAAAUAGCUUUAGGGCUAGCCUCAAGUGAUGAUUAUUGGAGGUAGAG
Molecule: ribosomal RNA, 802 nt
Filed under: Staphylococcus aureus
Lineage: Bacteria; Bacillati; Bacillota; Bacilli; Caryophanales; Staphylococcaceae
Description: partial 23S ribosomal RNA
Rfam family: Bacterial large subunit ribosomal RNA
Source: RNAcentral